RNAcentral lists this ribosomal RNA (395 nucleotides) under uncultured bacterium. Its description in RNAcentral is "partial 16S ribosomal RNA". It matches the Rfam family "Bacterial small subunit ribosomal RNA", at positions 338 to 730 of the family's 1533-position model. The record is from RNAcentral.
CCUACGGGAGGCAGCAGUGAGGAAUAUUGGUCAAUGGGCGGGAGCCUGAACCAGCCAAGCCGCGUGAGGGACGACGGUUCUAUGGAUUGUAAACCUCUUUUGUCGGGGAACAAAGGCGGCCACGGGUGGGCGGAUGAGAGUAUCCGAAGAAAAAGCAUCGGCUAACUCCGUGCCAGCAGCCGCGGUAAUACGGAGGAUUCGAGCGUUAUCCGGAUUUAUUGGGUUUAAAGGGUGCGUAGGCGGUCGGAUAAGUUAGAGGUAAAAACGCGGGGCUCAACCUCGGAAUGGCCUUUGAAACUGGCAGGCUAGAGUGUACGUGAGGUAUGCGGAAUGUAUGGUGUAGCGGUGAAAUGCUUAGAGAUCACGCAGAACACCGAUUGCGAAGGCAGCUUACC